GGGCCUGUAGUGUAGCAAUCGGGGUGUAAAGUCGCCCUGACUACAAUGGAUAUCACUGGGGCCUCCGGAGCCCUAAACUCGGGUUCAAAUCCCGGCAGGCCCG
Molecule: transfer RNA, 103 nt
Filed under: Thermoplasmata archaeon
Lineage: Archaea; Methanobacteriati; Thermoplasmatota; Thermoplasmata
Description: tRNA-Arg
Source: RNAcentral